GACGAACGCUGGCGGCGUGCCUAAUACAUGCAAGUUGAGCGCUGAAGGUUGGUACUUGUACCAACUGGAUGAGCAGCGAACGGGUGAGUACCGCGUGGGGAAUCUGCCUUUGAGCGGGGGACAACAUUUGGAAACGAAUGCUAAUACCGCAUAAAAACUUUAAACACAAGUUUUAAGUUUGAAAGAUGCAAUUGCAUCACUCAAAGAUGAUCCCGCGUUGUAUUAGCUAGUUGGUGAGGUAAAGGCUCACCAAGGCGAUGAUACAUAGCCGACCUGAGAGGGUGAGCGGCCACAUUGGGACGGAGACACGGCCCAAACUCCUACGGGAGGCAGCAGUAGGGAAUCUUCGGCAAUGGACGAAAGUCUGACCGAGCAACGCCGCGUGAGUGAAGAAGGUUGUCGGAUCGUAAAACUCUGUUGGUAGAGAAGAACGUUGGUGAGAGUGGAAAGCUCAUCAAGUGACGGUAACUACCCAGAAAGGGACGGCUAACUACGUG
RNAcentral lists this ribosomal RNA (497 nucleotides) under uncultured bacterium. RNAcentral's name for it is "partial 16S ribosomal RNA". It matches the Rfam family "Bacterial small subunit ribosomal RNA", at positions 28 to 507 of the family's 1533-position model. The record is from RNAcentral.